AUGGCACCACCUGCUAAACCCAACUUUGCAUUGAAAUCAAUUCUGGAAAAGGAUAAACUAAAUGGAACAAACUUUACCACCUGGUAUAGAAAUCUGAGAAUUGUUCUCAAGCAUGAUAAAAAGGAACAUGUUCUAGAGGAUCCACUUCCAGAGGAACCUGCUGAUAAUGCUAAUGCCACAACUAAGAAUGCCUACCAGAAACUCGUUGAUGAAUCAAUGGAGAUCAGCUGUCUGAUGCUGGCUUGUAUGGAGCCCGAUUUGCAACAGCAUUUCGAAAGUGUUGAGGCUUACGAUACGAUCGAGAGUCUCAAGAGCAUGUUUUAG
This 324-nucleotide ribosomal RNA is filed under the name Triticum aestivum (bread wheat). RNAcentral's name for it is "partial small subunit ribosomal RNA". The record is from RNAcentral. Lineage: Eukaryota; Viridiplantae; Streptophyta; Magnoliopsida; Poales; Poaceae.